CCUACGGGCGGCUGCAGUAGGGAAUCUUCCACAAUGGACGAAAGUCUGAUGGAGCAACGCCGCGUGAGUGAAGAAGGGUUUCGGCUCGUAAAACUCUGUUGUUAAAGAAGAACGUGGGUGAGAGUAACUGUUCACCCAGUGACGGUAUUUAACCAGAAAGCCACGGCUAACUACGUGCCAGCAGCCGCGGUAAUACGUAGGUGGCAAGCGUUAUCCGGAAUUAUUGGGCGUAAAGCGCGCGCAGGCGGUCUUUUAAGUCUAAUGUGAAAGCCUUCGGCUCAACCGAAGAAGUGCAUUGGAAACUGGGAGACUUGAGUGCAGAAGAGGACAGUGGAACUCCAUGUGUAGCGGUGAAAUGCGUAGAUAUAUGGAAGAACACCAGUGGCGAAGGCGGCUGUCUGGUCUGUAACUGACGCUGAGGCUCGAAAGCAUGGGUAGCGAACAGGAUUAGAUACCCUGGUAGUC
RNAcentral lists this ribosomal RNA (465 nucleotides) under Weissella confusa. RNAcentral describes it as "bacterial SSU rRNA". It matches the Rfam family "Bacterial small subunit ribosomal RNA", at positions 338 to 795 of the family's 1533-position model. Lineage: Bacteria; Bacillati; Bacillota; Bacilli; Lactobacillales; Lactobacillaceae. The record is from RNAcentral.